GUCUACGGCCAUACCACCAUGAAUGCACCUGAUCUCAUCUGAUCUUGGAAACUUAGCAGGAUAGGGCCUGGUUAGUACUUGGAUGGGAGAAGCCAUAAGAUGGUUUAAGAAA
Molecule: ribosomal RNA, 112 nt
Filed under: Microcebus murinus (gray mouse lemur)
Lineage: Eukaryota; Metazoa; Chordata; Mammalia; Primates; Cheirogaleidae
Source: RNAcentral